UAGAUGCGAGAGUAGAGCAUAUCAAUAAGCGGAGGAAAAGAAACUAACAAGGAUUCCCCUAGUAACGGCGAGUGAAGCGGGAAGAGCUCAAAUUUGAAAUCUUAAAGGGUUUCCCUUUACGAAUUGUAGUUUAAAGAAGUGUUUUCUGUUGGAGUUUCGGUAAAAGUUCUUUGGAAUAGGACAUCAUAGAGGGUGAGAAUCCCGUAUUUGACCGUUACUUUCCAACUUUGUGAUACACUUUCAAAGAGUCGGAUUGUUUGGGAAUGCAGUCCAAAAUGGGUGGUAAAUUUCAUCUAAAGCUAAAUACUGGCGAGAGACCGAUAGCGAACAAGUACCGUGAGGGAAAGAUGAAAAGAACUUUGAAAAGAGAGUUAAACAGUACGUGUAAUUGUCAAAAGGGAAGCGUUUGACACCAGUGUUGUUUUCUCGAAAACCAAUUAAAAAUGACCGGAUUUUGUGUUGUAUUGACUUUAUCAGCUUUCUGCACUUUUUUCUUGUCUUAUUUAAUGCACUUUUCGUUUAACAAGUCAACAUCAAUUUCUUUUGUUGUAAAAGAGUCGUUGGAAGGUGGCUUUCAUUUCGGUGAAAGUGUUUAUAGCCUUUGACUUCUGCAAUCGGAGAGAUUGAGGUCUGCAGCGUAGAUCCUUCGGGGUUAGAUAGCAUUUGUGCUAAGUUAUAGCCUUUUCAUAGACAACUUGUUGACUAUGCUUAGUCAUUGUAGCUUACUCGCUUGUGCUAUUUUACCUACGCUUAGGAUGUUGACGAGACUGUCGAUCUC
RNAcentral lists this ribosomal RNA (778 nucleotides) under uncultured Neocallimastigales. RNAcentral describes it as "partial large subunit ribosomal RNA". It matches the Rfam family "Eukaryotic large subunit ribosomal RNA", at positions 22 to 646 of the family's 3401-position model. The record is from RNAcentral. Lineage: Eukaryota; Fungi; Neocallimastigomycota; Neocallimastigomycetes; Neocallimastigales.